This 55-nucleotide ribosomal RNA is filed under the name Phytophthora infestans T30-4. Its description in RNAcentral is "5.8S ribosomal RNA". It matches the Rfam family "5.8S ribosomal RNA", at positions 1 to 55 of the family's 154-position model. Rfam says of the family: 5.8S ribosomal RNA (5.8S rRNA) is a component of the large subunit of the eukaryotic ribosome. It is transcribed by RNA polymerase I as part of the 45S precursor that also contains 18S and 28S rRNA. Functionally, it is thought that 5.8S rRNA may be involved in ribosome translocation. Lineage: Eukaryota; Oomycota; Peronosporomycetes; Peronosporales; Peronosporaceae. The record is from RNAcentral.
AACUUUCAGCAGUGGAUGUCUAGGCUCGCACAUCGAUGAAGAACGCUGCGAACUG